GCUUGGCUCGCGCUUCCAGCGAGUGACAAGGUUUCGUGGCCUGGGGGCCUGAGCUGUUUCCUCUUGGAAAGGCCGAGGAGGCUCCGCCACUCUCCUUUGGACUGGUCGCGCUGAAGCUCUAUCCUAGGGCACUGGUCGCAAGAGCAGAUGGUGCCACACGCUCCGGGCCUACAAACUUCAGCGGCUGCCGGGCCCGGGCCCCUCGUCUUUUGUUGGGUUUCCUCUUGGUGCCAGGUCUCAGCCCCUGCAAAAGAAAGCUGGCUUUGGCCGCGCGCAGUGGCUCGCGCCUGUAAUCCCAGCAUUUGGGAGGCCAAGGCAGGUGGAUCACGAGGUCAGGAGAUCAAGACUAUCCUGGCCAACAUGGUAAAACCCCAUCUCUACUACCAAUAGAAAAAUUGGCCGGGCGUGGUGGCAGGCGCCUGUAGUCUCAGCUACUCAGGAGGCUGAGGCAGCAGAAUCCCUUGAACCCAGGAGGCGGAGGUUGCAGUGACCCGAGAUCGCCACUGCACUCCAGCCUGCGGGACAGAGGGAGACUCUGUCUCAAAAAAAAAAAAAAAAAAAAAAAAGAAACGAAAAAAUGAAAGCUGGCUUUGUAUAGGUGCUGGGGAGCGCAAACACCUGGCCUCCCCAAGAGGCUGGAGGAUGAGGAGGGUCACCGACUGAGCCCA
RNAcentral lists this long non-coding RNA (668 nucleotides) under Homo sapiens (human). RNAcentral describes it as "non-protein coding lnc-OR2J1-16:1". Lineage: Eukaryota; Metazoa; Chordata; Mammalia; Primates; Hominidae. The record is from RNAcentral.